This 379-nucleotide ribosomal RNA is filed under the name uncultured bacterium. RNAcentral's name for it is "bacterial SSU rRNA". It matches the Rfam family "Bacterial small subunit ribosomal RNA", at positions 29 to 412 of the family's 1533-position model. The record is from RNAcentral.
AGCGAACGUUUGCGGCGGGCCUAACACAUGCAAGUCGAACGCACUAGCAAUAGUGAGUGGCGCACGGGUGCGUAACACGUGGGUAAUCAACCCUUCAGCCUGGGAUAACGACUCGAAAGGGUCGCUAAUACCGGAUACGGCGCGAGAGGCUUCGGCUUCUCACGAGAAAGCCACGCAAGGGGCACUGAAGGACGAGCCUGCGGCCCAUCAGCUAGUUGGUGAGGUAAGAGCUCACCAAGGCUAAGACGGGUAGCUGGUCUGAGAGGAUGAUCAGCCACACUGGAACUGAGACACGGUCCAGACUCCUACGGGAGGCAGCAGUGGGGAAUAUUGCGCAAUGGGCGAAAGCCUGACGCAGCCACGCCGCGUGAGCGAUGAA